UUCCUACGGGGCGCAGCAGUGGGGGAUAUUGCACAAUGGGGGGAACCCUGAUGCAGCGACGCCGCGUGGGUGAAGGAGCGUUUCGGCGCGUAAAGCCCUAUCGGCAGGGAAGAAGAUGACGGUACCUGACCAAGAAGCCCCGGCUAACUACGUGCCAGCAGCCGCGGUAAUACGUAGGUGGCAAGCGUUAUCCGGAUUUAUUGGGUGUAAAGGGCGUGUAGGCGGGAUUGGAAGGCAGAU
RNAcentral lists this ribosomal RNA (240 nucleotides) under uncultured bacterium. RNAcentral describes it as "partial 16S ribosomal RNA". It matches the Rfam family "Bacterial small subunit ribosomal RNA", at positions 336 to 593 of the family's 1533-position model. The record is from RNAcentral.